This 1256-nucleotide ribosomal RNA is filed under the name Helicobacter sp. 'liver 2'. RNAcentral describes it as "bacterial SSU rRNA". It matches the Rfam family "Bacterial small subunit ribosomal RNA", at positions 65 to 1344 of the family's 1533-position model. Lineage: Bacteria; Pseudomonadati; Campylobacterota; Epsilonproteobacteria; Campylobacterales; Helicobacteraceae. The record is from RNAcentral.
AACGAUGAAGCUUCUAGCUUGCUAGAAUGCUGAUUAGUGGCGCACGGGUGAGUAACGCAUAGGUCAUGCGCCUCUUAGUUUGGGAUAGCCAUUGGAAACGAUGAUUAAUACCAGAUACUCCCUACGGGGGAAAGAUUUAUCGCUAAGAGAUCAGCCUAUGUCCUAUCAGCUUGUUGGUAAGGUAAUGGCUUACCAAGGCUAUGACGGGUAUCCGGCCUGAGAGGGUGAACGGACACACUGGAACUGAGACACGGUCCAGACUCCUACGGGAGGCAGCAGUAGGGAAUAUUGCUCAAUGGGGGAAACCCUGAAGCAGCAACGCCGCGUGGAGGAUGAAGGUUUUAGGAUUGUAAACUCCUUUUGUUAGAGAAGAUAAUGACGGUAUCUAACGAAUAAGCACCGGCUAACUCCGUGCCAGCAGCCGCGGUAAUACGGAGGGUGCAAGCGUUACUCGGAAUCACUGGGCGUAAAGAGCGCGUAGGCGGGAUAGUCAGUCAGGUGUGAAAUCCUAUGGCUUAACCAUAGAACUGCAUUUGAAACUACUAUUCUAGAGUGUGGGAGAGGUAGGUGGAAUUCUUGGUGUAGGGGUAAAAUCCGUAGAGAUCAAGAGGAAUACUCAUUGCGAAGGCGACCUGCUGGAACAAUACUGGCGCUGAUUGCACGAAAGCGUGGGGAGCAAACAGGAUUAGAUACCCUGGUAGUCCACGCCCUAAACGAUGGAUGCUAGUUGUUGGGGGGCUUUGUCCUCCCAGUAAUGCAGCUAACGCCUUAAGCAUCCCGCCUGGGGAGUACGGUCGCAAGAUUAAAACUCAAAGGAAUAGACGGGGACCCGCACAAGCGGUGGAGUAUGUGGUUUAAUUCGAAGAUACACGAAGAACCUUACCUAGGCUUGACAUUGAAGGAAUCUGCUAGAAAUAGCGGAGUGUCUAGCUUGCCAGACCCUGAAAACAGGUGCUGCACGGCUGUCGUCAGCUCGUGUCGUGUGAUGUUGGGUUAAGUCCCGCAACGAGCGCAACCCUCUUUCUUAGUUGCUAACAGGUAGUGCUGAGCUCUCUAAGAAGACUGCCUGCGUAAGCAGGAGGAAGGUGAGGACGACGUCAAGUCAUCAUGGCCCUUACGCCUAGGGCUACACACGUGCUACAAUGGGGUGCACAAAGAGAUGCAAUGCCGCGAAGUUGAGCUAAUCUUAAAAACAUCUCUCAGUUCGGAUUGCAGGCUGCAACUCGCCUGCAUGAAGCUGGAAUCGCUAGUAAUCG